RNAcentral lists this transfer RNA (67 nucleotides) under Marmota monax (woodchuck). RNAcentral describes it as "tRNA.Val". The stretch from base 3 to 62 matches the Rfam family "tRNA", at positions 6 to 65 of the family's 71-position model. From Rfam's summary of the family: Transfer RNA (tRNA) molecules are approximately 80 nucleotides in length. Their secondary structure includes four short double-helical elements and three loops (D, anti-codon, and T loops). Lineage: Eukaryota; Metazoa; Chordata; Mammalia; Rodentia; Sciuridae. The record is from RNAcentral.
GGUGUAGCUCAGUGUAGAGCACUUGCCUAACAUGCACGAGGCCCUGGGUGCAAUCCCCAGUAUAACA